This 443-nucleotide ribosomal RNA is filed under the name uncultured bacterium. RNAcentral's name for it is "partial 16S ribosomal RNA". It matches the Rfam family "Bacterial small subunit ribosomal RNA", at positions 338 to 795 of the family's 1533-position model. The record is from RNAcentral.
CCUACGGGUGGCAGCAGUGGGGAAUAUUGGGCAAUGGUCGCAAGCCUGACCCAGCAACGCCGCGUGAAGGAAGAAGGCUUUCGGGUUGUAAACUUCUUUUCUCAGGGACGAAGCAAGUGACGGUACCUGAGGAAUAAGCCACGGCUAACUACGUGCCAGCAGCCGCGGUAAUACGUAGGUGGCAAGCGUUAUCCGGAUUUACUGGGUGUAAAGGGCGUGUAGGCGGGAAAGCAAGUCAGAUGUGAAAACCAUGGGCUCAACCUGUGGCCUGCAUUUGAAACUGUUUUUCUUGAGUACUGGGGAGGCAGACGGAAUUCCUAGUGUAGCGGUGAAAUGCGUAGAUAUUAGGAGGAACACCAGUGGCGAAGGCGGUCUGCUGGACAGCAACUGACGCUGAGGCGCGAAAGCGUGGGGAGCAAACAGGAUUAGAUACCCCUGUAGUC